CGCGUAGGCGGGGAUGUAAGUCGGGCGUGAAAUCCCCAGGCUCAACCUGGGAACUGCACUCGAAACUGCGUUUCUUGAGUAUCGGAGAGGAAAGCGGAAUUCCUGGUGUAGAGGUGAAAUUCGUAGAUAUCAGGAGGAACACCAGUGGCGAAGGCGGCUUUCUGGACGGUAACUGACGCUGAGGCGCGAAAGCGUGGGGAGGCAAAACA
RNAcentral lists this ribosomal RNA (209 nucleotides) under uncultured bacterium. Its description in RNAcentral is "partial 16S ribosomal RNA". It matches the Rfam family "Bacterial small subunit ribosomal RNA", at positions 568 to 776 of the family's 1533-position model. The record is from RNAcentral.